RNAcentral lists this ribosomal RNA (458 nucleotides) under uncultured bacterium. RNAcentral's name for it is "bacterial SSU rRNA". It matches the Rfam family "Bacterial small subunit ribosomal RNA", at positions 28 to 492 of the family's 1533-position model. The record is from RNAcentral.
GAUGAACGCUGGCGGCGUGCUUAACACAUGCAAGUCGAACGAUGAAAGCGGGAGCUUGCUCCUGCUGGAUUAGUGGCGAACGGGUGAGUAACACGUGAGUAACCUGCCCUUGACUCUGGGAUAAGCGUUGGAAACGACGUCUAAUACCGGAUACGACCUUCGGAGGCAUCUCCUGGGGGUGGAAAGAAUUUCGGUCAAGGAUGGACUCGCGGCCUAUCAGCUAGUUGGUGAGGUAAUGGCUCACCAAGGCGACGACGGGUAGCCGGCCUGAGAGGGUGACCGGCCACACUGGGACUGAGACACGGCCCAGACUUCUACGGGAGGCAGCAGUGGGGAAUAUUGCACAAUGGGCGCAAGCCUGAUGCAGCAACGCCGCGUGAGGGACGACGGCCUUCGGGUUGUAAACCGUCUUUUAGUUAGGGAAGAAGACGAAGUAGACGGUACCUGCAGAAAAGACA